RNAcentral lists this small nuclear RNA (23 nucleotides) under Arabidopsis thaliana (thale cress). RNAcentral describes it as "snRNA_15114". Lineage: Eukaryota; Viridiplantae; Streptophyta; Magnoliopsida; Brassicales; Brassicaceae. The record is from RNAcentral.
UCGGUCUCAAUCCUAUGUGGCUG